GGCCUGAUGGUCUAGUAGUAUGAUUCCUUGUUAGGGCUUCAAAAGUCGUAUCGAGGAGGUCCCGGGUUCAAUUCCCGGUCAGGCCC
Non-coding RNA from Paramarasmius palmivorus, 86 nucleotides. The record is from the annotation of a GenBank genome assembly. Lineage: Eukaryota; Fungi; Basidiomycota; Agaricomycetes; Agaricales; Marasmiaceae.